RNAcentral lists this long non-coding RNA (1402 nucleotides) under Salmo salar (Atlantic salmon). RNAcentral describes it as "lncRNA (ENSSSAG00000112493.1)". The record is from RNAcentral. Lineage: Eukaryota; Metazoa; Chordata; Actinopteri; Salmoniformes; Salmonidae.
GAACAUCUUACUUUAAUCUUGCUCAAAUUUGACUUGAACCCUGCAUGAAUCAAACUUUAACCCUGCAUGAAUAUUAUUUUGACCCUGCUCAAAUCUUACUUUAACCCUGCUCAAAUCUUACUUUCACCCUGCUCAAAUCUGCACACAUGUUACUUACAGACAAAUAAUUACAAAUAAUUAUCUAAUUCAUUAUGUACUAUAUGAUCCAGACAUUAGUAUAGAAACUGAGACAGACAAACAGACAGAACUCAUAUGAGAGGAGACAGCAGUAGACAAGAUGGAGUAUCUUCAUUCUGGACAGUUACUCCUCAGUUACUAUACUGUUAAAGUUACUUUACUAGCACAGUUACUGUACUGUUAAUGUUACUUUACUAUACUACCAGCUAGCACAGGUCAACAACAGCUUGUCUGUCAGUUACUAGUUUGACAGCUGGGUGUUUCUGAAGAGAUCUUUCUUAUUUUUUGAAAGCUCCUUCCUCCUCUGACACCCAACUCCUCUCACUCACUCUAUCUAUCUCUCUCUCUCUCUCUCUCUCUCUCUCUAUCUCUCCAUGUCAGAGGUGGUGUUCAGGGGAUGGGCAUUUGCCUACACAUCCUCAUUUCUCUGUAGUGACCUCAGUGUCUCCAGGUCUAUAUGUGCUGCAGAGUGAAACUGGUUCAAUCAGGCCGGAGGUUAGACUUCUAAACCACCAGACAACUCAGCUUCCUGUAGGUGACUAAGUCUUAAAACUGUCAACUUCACUGUUCUAAAGUUACCAUGUCUAUUUCAGCAGACGAGGAACACAUUGUUGAGAUGAUGACAAUAUAUGCAUCAGGUAUACAUCACUAUAUUGUAUUAAAUUGAUCCACAUAUAUUUACUGUGAUUGAAAAAGUAUGCUCCAAAAUUGAUUUCCAAGUACAAAUGUUACAGAGACUAACACUUCGCUAACACUAUCCUGUCUCAGUGUGAAGUUAAUGGUGCCAUCAUUUUAGUUUGGGUCUGUUGUGUUUUGGGUUUGAAUGGUGAAGUCAUGGGUUGUUGUAUUGAGGGUUUGGUAGGUGGAGUCUUGGGUUGCUGUGUUGAGGGUUUGGUAGGUGGAGUCUUGGGUUGCUGUGUUGAGGGUUUGGUAGGUGGAGUCUUGGGUUGCUGGGUUGAGGGUUUGAUAGGUGGAGUCUUGGGUUGUUGUGUUGAGGGUUUGGUAGGUGGAGUCUUGGGUUGUUGUGUUGAGGGUUUGGUAGGUGGAGUCUUGGGUUGUUGUGUUGAGGGUUUGGUAGGUGGAGUCUUGGGUUGUUGUGUUGAGGGUUUGGUAGGUGGAGUCUUGGUUUGUUGUGUAGAGGGUUUGGUAGGUGGAGUCUUGGGUUGCUGUGUUGAGGGUUUGGUAGGUGGAGUCUUGAGUUGUUGUGUCUGGAUUGGUGACUGGU